RNAcentral lists this ribosomal RNA (553 nucleotides) under Paramisgurnus dabryanus. RNAcentral describes it as "partial large subunit ribosomal RNA". It matches the Rfam family "Bacterial large subunit ribosomal RNA", at positions 1835 to 2585 of the family's 2925-position model. The record is from RNAcentral. Lineage: Eukaryota; Metazoa; Chordata; Actinopteri; Cypriniformes; Cobitidae.
AACUCAAGGUAUAGGAGGUCCAGCCUGCCCAGUGACCACAAGUUCAACGGCCGCGGUAUUUUGACCGUGCAAAGGUAGCGCAAUCACUUGUCUUUUAAAUGAAGACCUGUAUGAAUGGCCAAACGAGGGCUUAGCUGUCUCCCCUUUCAAGUCAGUGAAAUUGAUCUGCCCGUGCAGAAGCGGGCAUACAUCUACAAGACGAGAAGACCCUUUGGAGCUUAAGGUUCAAGCCCAACCGCGUUAAGCAACUUACAAAAUAAGCAUUAAACCUAGCGGAAAAUGGCGCUUUACCUUCGGUUGGGGCGACCACGGAGAAAAAAAUAUCCUCCGAGUGGACUGGGCCGACUAAGCCUAAAACCAAGAAAGACAUUUCUAAGUAGCAGAAAAUCUGACCAAUAAUGAUCCGGCCCAAGGGCCGAUCAACGGACCAAGUUACCCUAGGGAUAACAGCGCAAUCCUCUCCCAGAGUCCAAUCGACGAGGGGGUUUACGACCUCGAUGUGGAUCAGGACAUCCUAAUGGUGCAGCCGCUAUUAAGGGUUCGUUUGUUCAAC